UUGAAAGGUGCUUUUAGCUAUCACUUACAGAUGGACCCGCGGCGCAUUAGCUAGUUGGUGAGGUAAGCNGGCUCACCAAGGCAACGAUGCGUAGCCGACCUGAGAGGGUGAUCGGCCACACUGGGACUGAGACACGGCCCAGACUCCUACGGGAGGCAGCAGUAGGGAAUCUUCCGCAAUGGACGAAAGUCUGACGGAGCAACGCCGCGUGAGUGAUGAAGGUUUUCGGAUCGUAAAGCUCUGUUGUUAGGGAAGAACAAGUGCCGUUCGAAUAGGGCGGCACCUUGACGGUACCUAACCAGAAAGCCACGGCUAACUACGUGCCAGCAGCCGCGGUAAUACGUAGGUGGCAAGCGUUGUCCGGAAUUAUUGGGCGUAAAGCGCGCGCAGGUGGUUCCUUAAGUCUGAUGUGAAAGCCCACGGCUCAACCGUGGAGGGUCAUUGGAAACUGGGGAACUUGAGUGCAGAAGAGGAAAGUGGAAUUCCAAGUGUAGCGGUGAAAUGCGUAGAUAUUUGGAGGAACACCAGUGGCGAAGGCGACUUUCUGGUCUGUAACUGACACUGAGGCGCGAAANNGUGGGGAGCAAACAG
Molecule: ribosomal RNA, 591 nt
Filed under: Bacillus sp. TA48
Lineage: Bacteria; Bacillati; Bacillota; Bacilli; Caryophanales; Bacillaceae
Description: bacterial SSU rRNA
Rfam family: Bacterial small subunit ribosomal RNA
Source: RNAcentral